Molecule: long non-coding RNA, 540 nt
Filed under: Brassica napus (rape)
Lineage: Eukaryota; Viridiplantae; Streptophyta; Magnoliopsida; Brassicales; Brassicaceae
Description: long non-coding RNA (BNAP_LNC023306)
Source: RNAcentral
UUUAAAUAAAUAAAAACCUAAAAAAAUAAAAAAUAAUUUUUUUAAUUUUUUUUCGAAUUAUACUAUUUCGAAAUUAAAACCCUAAACCCUAAAAAUCAACACUAAACCCUAAACCAUCAAUCCUAAACCCUAUUUUUUUUUGAAAUACAAACCCUAAACCCUAAACCAUCAAUCAUAAACCUUAUUUUUUUUAAAUACGAACCCUAAACCCUGAAACAUCAACACUAAACCCUAAACCUCGAAACCUCAACUCUAAACCCUAAGCCCUAAACUUUCAACUCUAAACCCUAAAGCAUCAACUCUAAACCCUAAACCCUAAACUUAACUCCAAACCCUAAACCAUCAACACUAAACCCUAAACUAUCAAUAGUAAACCCUAAACCCUAAAAAGUAAACUCUAAACCCUAAACCCUAAACCCUAAAACAUCAAUUCUAAUCCCUAAACCCUAAACCUUCAACUCUAAACCCUAAACUCUAAACCCUAAACUCUAAACCCUAAACUCUAAACCCUAAAUCCUAAACCCUAAACCCUAAAACCCU